UUUGGUAAAGACAGUUAGGCAAGAGCUAAGGACCAUUAGAUCUUUAGUAUAGGGGUAAAAUCUAUAUACUAAAAGUUAUACCGGGCGUGGUUUAUUUAGGGUGCUGAAUCUGUGAUAGCUUUAAGGGAAACUGGGAUUGGAUACCCCAUUAUUUCUAGUUGUAAAUUUAGUUUAAGCUUACCAGAGUACUACGAAUUAAAAGUUUAAAACUCAAAGGGCUUGGCGGUGUUUUAGACCUCUUAGGGGAACCUGUCUCGUAAUCGACAAUCCACGUUAGACCUAACCUUUUGUGGCAUGACAGCCUGUAUACCGUCGUCGUCAGGUAACUUCUUAAAAUAUAGUAGUUAGCCCGAGAACUUUAUUAGUUAAAACGUCAGAUCAAGGUGCAGCUAAUAAAAGGGUGAGGAUGGGUUACAAUUAUAGAUUUAUAAGUACGGAUAAAGAUUUGAAAUGGAGUGUUUGAAAGGAGGACUUAAAAGUAAUUUUGAUUAUAUAAGCAGAAUGAAUAUGGCUCUGAAACGUG
This 523-nucleotide ribosomal RNA is filed under the name Conus betulinus. RNAcentral describes it as "partial 12S ribosomal RNA". It matches the Rfam family "Bacterial small subunit ribosomal RNA", at positions 622 to 1383 of the family's 1533-position model. Lineage: Eukaryota; Metazoa; Mollusca; Gastropoda; Neogastropoda; Conidae. The record is from RNAcentral.